This 492-nucleotide ribosomal RNA is filed under the name uncultured bacterium. RNAcentral describes it as "partial 16S ribosomal RNA". It matches the Rfam family "Bacterial small subunit ribosomal RNA", at positions 29 to 507 of the family's 1533-position model. The record is from RNAcentral.
AGUGAACGCUGGCGGUAGGCCUAACACAUGCAAGUCGAACGGCAGCACAGUAAGAGCUUGCUCUUACGGGUGGCGAGUGGCGGACGGGUGAGGAAUACAUCGGAAUCUACUUUUUCGUGGGUGAUAACGUAGGGAAACUUACGCUAAUACCGCAUACGACCUACGGCUGAAAGCAGUGGAUCUUCGCACCUUGCGCGAUUGAAUUAGCCGAUGUCGCAUUAGCUAUUCGGCGGGGUAAAGGCCCACCAAGGCGACGAUCCGUAGCUGGUCUGAGAGGAUGAUCAGCCACACUGGAACUGAGACACGGUCCAGACUCCUACGGGAGGCAGCAGUGGGGAAUAUUGGACAAUGGGCGCAAGCCUGAUCCAGCCAUACCGCGUGAGUGAAGAAGGCAUUCGGGUUGUAAAGCCCUUUUGUUGGGAAAGAAAAGCAGCAGGUUAAUACCCCGAUGUUCUGACGGUACCCAAAGAAUAAGCACCGGCUAACUUCGUG